Molecule: ribosomal RNA, 384 nt
Filed under: Oligosoma ornatum (Gray's ornate skink)
Lineage: Eukaryota; Metazoa; Chordata; Lepidosauria; Squamata; Scincidae
Description: partial 12S ribosomal RNA
Rfam family: Bacterial small subunit ribosomal RNA
Source: RNAcentral
GCUCAGCCGUCAACAAAGACAGUAUAAGUACAAUACUGUUCGCCAGAGAACUACAAGCUAAAGCUAAAAACUCCAAGGACUUGGCGGUGCUCCACAUCACCCUAGAGGAGCCUGUCCUAUAAUCGAUACCCCCCGAUCUACCUCACCAUUUUUUGAAACUCAGCCUAUAUACCGCCGUCGUCAGCCUACCUUGUGAAAGAAGCACAGUAAGCAAAACAGUCACCAACUAAAACGUCAGGUCAAGGUGUAGCACAUGAAAUGGAAGAGAUGGGCUACACUCUCUCCCCCAGAGAACACGAACAGCACCAAUGAAACACUGCUCAAAGGCGGAUUUAGUAGUAAGAUAAACAAGAGAACUUAUCUUAAACCAGCCCUGGAGCGCGC